Acanthosepion pharaonis is the source of this 113-nucleotide non-coding RNA. Lineage: Eukaryota; Metazoa; Mollusca; Cephalopoda; Sepiida; Sepiidae. The record is from the annotation of a GenBank genome assembly.
UAGGGUCAUAUCACGUUGAAACACCGAUUCUCGUACGAUAACCGAAGUUAAACAAAGUCGAUCCUGGUCAGUAACUAGAUGGAUGACCGCUUGGAAGUACGAGGUGCUGUAAG